AGUGAACGCUGGCGGUAGGCCUAACACAUGCAAGUCGAACGGCAGCACAGGAGAGCUUGCUCUCUGGGUGGCGAGUGGCGGACGGGUGAGGAAUACAUCGGAAUCUACUCUGUCGUGGGGGAUAACGUAGGGAAACUUACGCUAAUACCGCAUACGACCUACGGGUGAAAGCAGGGGACCUUCGGGCCUUGCGCGAUUGAAUGAGCCGAUGUCGGAUUAGCUAGUUGGCGGGGUAAAGGCCCACCAAGGCGACGAUCCGUAGCUGGUCUGAAAGCAGGAUCAGCCACACUGGAACUGAGACACGGUGCGGACUCCUACGGGAGGCAGCAGUGGGGGAUAUUGGACAAUGGGCGCAAGCCUGAUCCAGCCAUACCGCGUGGGUGAAGAAGGCCGUCGGGUUGUAAAGCCCUUUUGUUGGGAAAGAAAUCCAGCUGGCUAAUACCCGGUUGGGAUGACGGUACCCAAAGAAUAAGCACCGGCUAACUUCGUGCCAGCCGCCGCAGUAA
RNAcentral lists this ribosomal RNA (506 nucleotides) under uncultured bacterium. RNAcentral describes it as "partial 16S ribosomal RNA". It matches the Rfam family "Bacterial small subunit ribosomal RNA", at positions 29 to 523 of the family's 1533-position model. The record is from RNAcentral.